Molecule: ribosomal RNA, 683 nt
Filed under: Salmonella enterica subsp. enterica serovar Schwarzengrund
Lineage: Bacteria; Pseudomonadati; Pseudomonadota; Gammaproteobacteria; Enterobacterales; Enterobacteriaceae
Description: bacterial LSU rRNA
Rfam family: Bacterial large subunit ribosomal RNA
Source: RNAcentral
GGGUUGUGAGGUUAAGCGACUAAGCGUACACGGUGGAUGCCCUGGCAGUCAGAGGCGAUGAAGGACGUGCUAAUCUGCGAUAAGCGCCGGUAAGGUGAUAUGAACCGUUAUAACCGGCGAUUUCCGAAUGGGGAAACCCAGUGUGACUCGUCACACUAUCAUUAACUGAAUCCAUAGGUUAAUGAGGCGAACCGGGGGAACUGAAACAUCUAAGUACCCCGAGGAAAAGAAAUCAACCGAGAUUCCCCCAGUAGCGGCGAGCGAACGGGGAUGAGCCCAGAGCCUGAAUCAGCAUGUGUGUUAGUGGAAGCGUCUGGAAAGGCGCGCGAUACAGGGUGACAGCCCCGUACACAAAAGCGCAUAUGCUGUGAGCUCGAUGAGUAGGGCGGGACACGUGGUAUCCUGUCUGAAUAUGGGGGGACCAUCCUCCAAGGCUAAAUACUCCUGACUGACCGAUAGUGAACCAGUACCGUGAGGGAAAGGCGAAAAGAACCCCGGCGAGGGGAGUGAAAAAGAACCUGAAACCGUGUACGUACAAGCAGUGGGAGCCCCACCACUAAGCCAGUGGUGAACUCCACAUACGCAUCCUUUGCUGAGGAUGCGGUUAACGGAGCGAAAGCGACGUUCAACCGCAAAAGAAGCAGAGGGGGCUUAGUGGUGGGGUGACUGCGUACCUUUUGUAU